UAACAAGUGCUUUAAUUAAUCGUGUGCACACACUUAGAGUAGUGAGGGAUAGUAUAAACAUGGUGUUUAUACUAUAUCUUUCCUGUGGUUGUUGUUUGUCGCACAAAUUGUUCAUGGAUGCUAGUAUGUAUCAUAGCCUUAUCUAGACUUUUGUCGCACGAAUUUGUCACACUUUCUAUGGCUCCUUGGGUGAAGACUGCGGGCAUCUAUUUUUCAAAUGCAACUUGGCCAAGCAAGUUUGGCGCUUACUGAAUUGGG
RNAcentral lists this long non-coding RNA (258 nucleotides) under Sorghum bicolor (sorghum). Its description in RNAcentral is "long non-coding RNA (SBIC_LNC001440)". The record is from RNAcentral. Lineage: Eukaryota; Viridiplantae; Streptophyta; Magnoliopsida; Poales; Poaceae.